CAAAGUUUAUGGUUUAGCAUGGUUUUUGUUAGUAUGACCUUUUAUUUUGUUUUGUCACUGGGAUAAAGGGACAUUAUAGCUCAGAAAGAGACACGUUCAACUCAUUCUAGAGGUGAUAGGAGUAAAAAGCUUGUUCUUGACUUGAGAAAAGUCGGGAGAAAACUGUGGCUGACCAUUUCUAAUUGAGGUUGCAGAGCACAUCGAGUUAUUGGGAGUCUGUGUUGCCAGCAGAGCCAGAGAGACGACCAGGGGGAAAUUAGCCCACAGACAGAGCGUAAAUGCUGCACACUGCAGACCAAGGGGACAAGUUAGAGGCAAACCAGUGCUGCAUCCCCCUCCAUGCUUCCUGAUUUAUCCAGAGCGAGACUAGCAAUCUUUUAGCCAAAAAAAAAAGGUAACCUUAAAGUUUUGUGUUGAUUUGGCAUUUUACCUUUGGAGGAGCAGAAAAUGAGAAGAAGUUAAAACU
Long non-coding RNA from Melanotaenia boesemani (Boeseman's rainbowfish), 466 nucleotides. RefSeq lists it as uncharacterized. The record is from RefSeq and is a predicted model, not a curated record. Lineage: Eukaryota; Metazoa; Chordata; Actinopteri; Atheriniformes; Melanotaeniidae. The transcript has 3 exons.